GGGGGUAUAGCUCAGUGGCAGAGCGUCUGCUUUGCACGCAUAGUGCCGUCGGUUCUAUCCCGACUACCUCCA
RNAcentral lists this transfer RNA (72 nucleotides) under Candidatus Tremblayella princeps. RNAcentral's name for it is "Candidatus Tremblaya princeps tRNA-Ala(TGC)". It matches the Rfam family "tRNA". Rfam says of the family: Transfer RNA (tRNA) molecules are approximately 80 nucleotides in length. Their secondary structure includes four short double-helical elements and three loops (D, anti-codon, and T loops). Lineage: Bacteria; Pseudomonadati; Pseudomonadota; Betaproteobacteria. The record is from RNAcentral.